Long non-coding RNA from Homo sapiens (human), 4395 nucleotides. Ensembl annotates it as mir-99a-let-7c cluster host gene. Its record names the gene MIR99AHG. NCBI's taxonomy places the organism in Eukaryota, Metazoa, Chordata, Mammalia, Primates, Hominidae. The record is from Ensembl.
GUCUAGGGGAGAGCCUGUAGGUACUCCAUUGUCUGAUGGAUCUGAGAACGCUGUCUGGGCUUGGUACCAAGAGCUGGUAUUUCACAGCAGCGACCGCCUCACAGACGAGCUGUGGGAAGCAGGAGGGAGACUCUCUCUUAGGGUGCCACUACUAUGGAGACACAGCUGGGCUGAACAAGAUUUGCUUCAAACGACAACAAGAGAGACAGAAAGUAUCUGGUUCAACCGCUGCCCGAGCAGGCAGGCACCAGAAGAGCUAGCAGCCAAUCCGGCCAUGCUCGAAGCCAGCUCUGCAGCUCAGCCAAUCAGUGACAUCAUUGCUUUCUUUAGCUUGCCCAUGGUGAUGUGAAGAUGAGAAGAAAUAGCAAGGCCCAACCAGUUCUUCAUCUGGAGACAGUUCAACGUUCUGCAAACCAGAUCUUCAGGAAUUUUACUGGGAUAAUUAUCCAAAUAAAUUGCAAGCAUUCUAUCCAAAUGGAGCUCUUUCUGAGAUGAAGAGAAUUCUCAAUGUCAAGAUUUGAACAAGAAGAGAAUGGAAUACACAAUAUGGACAUCCAUAAAAAUUCAUCAGAGAGCAUUUUACUACUGAGCUGCAAAGGGAAAAACUUAAAAUGGAUAUGAAAAGUGAAGAAAGUGAUCAUAGGAGAAAACCAUUUCAGAUGACAAGAGCACCUCAAAGGCAGCAGCCUCAAGGAGCAGCCAUGGCCCCAGACUUGUCGCACGGAUGCAGAAAACUUAAUGGAGGAGGCUGAGGUCAGAAUGGGAAGAGUUUUUAAAAAAUAAAAAGGGGAGCUAAUAUGUGAGGAACUGAUUGCUGUGCAUUAUUUUCCACUGAACAGACCUUCUUUUAACUUCUAAUCUCAAGCACAUAGCAGCUGUUGUUUUCAUAUUAAAGAUCAGUAAGUGUUUGUUGAAUGAAUGUAUAAAUUCUUCCCCAAUCUCUGUUCCAUGUAAUAAGAACUAAGUUAGCAUUCAAUUAUAAAGAGGACUUAGAAAGUCUGCAGACAUUUUUGAUCAAAAAUCCUUUUAACUGUCUUCUUAUGGUUCCCGGUAACACCUAAGCCCAAAAAACUCAGGUCAUUUCUUGCCUGUACUGUUGCAAUAGCCUCAUAAUAACUAGUCUUCUCCUUUAUCAACCACAGUCGUCUCCGCUACACAAAGAAGAGAGGGUGCUAAUCUAAAGUGUAAAUUAUUUUAAAUCAGCACCCUUCUUGUAAUUUCCCAGUGGUUUUUCCUGUCAUAAGAAUAACAUGCAAAAUUCCUUGCUUGCAAAGCCAGGUAUGACCUUGCCCCGUCUACCUUACUGGCAUCGUCUCUCAUGACUCUUCCCCUUUUUCACUCUCCAUCUUGCCUUUUCCCAACCAUGCCUGCUAGUGAGCCUUAGCCCUUGUGUUUUCUCUGCCAGGGAUGCAUGACUGGCUUCUUUACUUUAUUCUGAUCUCUCUGCUCAAAUGUCAUCUUUUUAGAGAUAGCUUUCCUAAACAUCUUUAAAAGUACCCCAUGAACUGUGAAACACCUUUCCUGCUUUUUCUUCAUAGUACUUAUCACUUCCUGAUAUUAUGUUAGACAACAAGCAAAUAAGUAUAUGCUGUUCCCACUAAAAUAUAAGCUCCAUUUGAACAGGAGCCUUGAUUAUUCCUGAGUAUACCCCUAGUGCCCAGAACCUAGUAGGGCUUUAAUAAAUAUUAGAUUCAUUUGUUGAAUGAAAAAAUGAAUGAAUAAUUGAAUAAAGAUAUCCAGGUAGAGUGUCCGGGCAGCCCAACCUAUGUGAAGCCAGUACAAGAAUGUUUCUGUGACAUAGUGAGCGCAAUUAUUCCUCUAAAUGAUGAACUUGCAUGAGUACACAAGGAUAAAAUUAAGCACGUAGUUUAGAUUUCUGCAAGUCUCUUCCUCAGAUUGAGGAAAAACAAAGAAAUUGAGCUUAUUCUCACCUCAUUCUUACAUGAACUAAAUCCAGAAUAAAGCAUCAUUUAAAUACCAAGCACAUCCCUACCUCAGCCACUCAUGGAAUACUUUAUCUGUAAAGGGACAGAUAGAUAGUAAAUAUUUUUGGCUUUGGGGACCGUACAGUCUGUGUCGCCACUACUCAGCACUUCUGUUGAGGUGUGGAAUCAGCCCUAGACAACACAUAAACAAAUGGGUGUGGCUGUGUUCCAAUAAAAUGUUAUUUAUAAAACUAGGAAAUCAGCAGAUUUAGUCCACAGGCUGUAGUUUGCUGACCCUUGAAUUAGAGAGUCUUCCCCAAAUCCUCUUCCCAAGUUAUUGAAAGAAUGCCCAUAGGACCAUAGCUCCCUCACCUGGUUCUUUCAAGAAAUGAGACAAAUUCAGGGAUGGUUGGAGGGUGGAACGCCUACCUGUGACAUGACUAUUGAGCCUGAUUUCUUUCCUUUUAUCUCUUUAAAGUGAGUCAGGUCUUAACUUUAAACUGUCUCUAAAGUGGCAAUAACUGGGCCAUGUCAAAUACUCCCAAUGACAAAAUUUCUUCUUGGAGAAUGAAUGAGGGUUGCAUACAGUGGUGUGUUGGUAAAUGUUUAGCAACUGGCUCUCUUACUGAUUUCUGUAGUGUAAAUUCUCCCAUCCUGGCCAUCUGAAACUACCAAUAUGAUGUCACUUGAUGUAGAGUUGGGAAAAGACAGUCUCUUGAAUAAGUAUGAGCUGGUUCCAGCCCACUGCUGAACACAUAUUUAAAAGCUACAAUAGCUCUGCUCACUGCCAUUGCAGAGUCUGGAGGAAAGAGUAGCAGGCUUGAUAGGAGCAAUUGGCUGAAUAAUCUUUUGCAAUGCCAAUAAAUAAUGAAAAAGUAUAUAAAUAUAACGCUGUAUAGAAAGCUCUCAAGUUCAGUGUUUGGUUAAAAUACAUACUCAGUAAAUGGUAGCUAUUAUUGUCUUAGUUUAAGUUAUUGCAAGCAUUAAAAUUAAAUGUUUAGCUACAGACUCAAUCCAGUUUUAAUGUCAUUGUGUUAAUAAGGCCUCUUAACAUUGAAGCAACAAAGAUAAAGGAAUUUUUUUGUAGCUAUUCACGAUUCUGCCCAGCUCAAGGUAAAGAUAGCAACAAAAUACUCCAACCAGAAUAAAAGAAGUCUCCACUUGACUGCAGCUCUUCGCAACACUUCACAAGGGUCAAGCUGUGUUAGUUUCCUUCAGUGUUAAACAGAAUGCAUCUUAAGAGAAUAGUUCAAUUAUUGAUUGAAUAGUAGGUUCAAGUUGACUAUAAUCCCAACUAAUACACUCUAAGACCAGGGAUGGGCCGACAGAAGGGUAAAGUUUUCCACUCAAGUCUCGAGGCAAACACUCAGAUAGAAGUAGUAAUAUGGAUGCCUUCUAUUAUUUGGUCACAUACAAUACUGUUCCAGCCCAGUUGUGCAAAACUGGUGAAAUAAAAGGCAAAAAUAUUGACAACAGUUUGGGUAACUGGAUUCCAAAAUGGGCAUCCAUCUAAGAGAAAUUAAUGAAAAAAAAGCAUAUGGACCUUGAAAUACAUUAAUACACAGUUUAGGUUUAAACACUCAGUUUUUAUUAGAAAAGACUAACUUAUCCUGUUUUGAACACUACAAAAGUGCUUUCUGAACCAUUUACUCUCAAACCUCCUCCACCCAUUCCCCUCCAUCUAUAACGCUUUCUGCACAUCUGUAAAAGGUAUGACUUAGUGUUUGGUCUGUGAAAUAAGGUUAAAAAGGAAGCAUUUCUUUUUACAUUCUAGCUAAUGUUGAUAUUUUUCUCAUGCUUCUAUUAGCACAUAAUUCAGAUACAUUAGUUUUGAAGUUUUGAAUCUUCUCUGCUUCUUGAGGGCUCUCUGUUCUAGAUCAACAUGAUCUGUGGAACACCAGCCAAGUCCUGGGCAGAACCCUCCCCGUUGUCCAAAUAUUACUGAAUCAGUUGAGUUUUCUCUGUUGUCAAUGAAUUAUUCCACAUGUUUCUUUGGCUACAUUUUUUUUGGCUUUCUGUUCACAGUAAAUAUAGCCUUUGUUUUUAAAAACUUCUAUUAUGAAAAUUCCAAAUAUAUGCAAAUUAGAGAGAAUAGCAUAAUGAACCUCUAUGUGCUUAUCACACAUAUAGGUUCAACUAAUUAAAUUAUAUCAAUUUAUGGCCAAUCUGGUUUCAUUUAUAACAUCAUUCGCUCAUUCCUAACUCCCUGGAUUAUUUGAUUGACAUGUUUCUAAAGUUCCUUUUAAUCUGUAGGUUCCCCCUCUCAUUUAAUCUUUUGCAACUUAUUCAUUGAUGAAACUGGGUUAUUUGUCCUUUAUUGUUUCUCUCAUUCUGAAAUAUGCUGUAAUGUCAUUAACCAUAUUCUUCUUUCCUGUAUUUUCUGUAAGCUUUGAGCUAGGCAGAAAUAUUUUAAUCAGAUUCCUUUUUUUUUCUUUUAGCAAGAUUUCUUCAUAAAUAAUAUUGUAUGUGU